Oryza glumipatula is the source of this 206-nucleotide non-coding RNA. Lineage: Eukaryota; Viridiplantae; Streptophyta; Magnoliopsida; Poales; Poaceae. The record is from Rfam.
AAAAAGACAAACCCCGAGUUUUCGUGUCCAACUUUGACUGUCCGUCUUAUAUGGAAUUUUUUUUAUAAUUCGUAUUUUCAUUGUUAUUAUAUGAUAAAACAUAAUUAAUAUUUUAUGCGUAACUUGUCUUUUUAAUUUUUUUCAUAUUUUUUUCAAAUAAGACGGGUGGUCAAACGUUGGGCACGGAAACUAGGGUUUGUCUUUUU